CCUACGUGUGGCAGCAGUGAGGAAUAUUGGUCAAUGGGCGCGAGCCUGAACCAGCCAAGUCGCGUGAAGGAUGACUGCCCUACGGGUUGUAAACUUCUUUUAUAAAGGACUAAAGUGAGGCACGUGUGCCUUUUUGUAUGUACUUUAUGAAUAAGGAUCGGCUAACUCCGUGCCAGCCGCCGCGGUCAUACGGAGGAUCCGAGCGUUAUCCGGAUUUAUUGGGUUUAAAGGGAGCGUAGAUGGGUUGUUAAGUCAGUUGUGAAAGUUUGCGGCUCAACCGUACAAUUGCAGUUGAUACUGGCAGUCUUGAGUACAGUUGAGGUAGGCGGAAUUCGUGGUGUAGCGGUGAAAUGCUUAGAUAUCACGAAGAACUCCGAUUGCGAAGGCAGCUUACUAAACUGCCACUGACACUGAUGCUCGAAAGUGUGGGUAUCAAACAGGAUUAGAUACCCCUGUAGUC
This 460-nucleotide ribosomal RNA is filed under the name uncultured bacterium. RNAcentral describes it as "partial 16S ribosomal RNA". It matches the Rfam family "Bacterial small subunit ribosomal RNA", at positions 338 to 795 of the family's 1533-position model. The record is from RNAcentral.